UACGGAGGGGGCAAGCGUUGUUCGGAAUUACUGGGCGUAAAGGGCGCGUAGGCGGCCUUCUAAGUCGAACGUGAAAUCCCCGGGCUCAACCCGGGAACUGCGUCCGAUACUGGCAGGCUUGAAUCCGGGAGAGGGAUGUGGAAUUCCAGGUGUAGCGGUGAAAUGCGUAGAUAUCUGGAGGAACACCGGUGGCGAAGGCGACACCCUGGACCGGUAUUGACGCUGAGGCGCGAAAGCCAGGGGAGCAAACGGG
This 253-nucleotide ribosomal RNA is filed under the name uncultured bacterium. RNAcentral's name for it is "partial 16S ribosomal RNA". It matches the Rfam family "Bacterial small subunit ribosomal RNA", at positions 524 to 776 of the family's 1533-position model. The record is from RNAcentral.